GAUGAACGCUAGCUACAGGCUUAACACAUGCAAGUCGCGGGGAAACGACAUCGAAAGCUUGCUUUUGAUGGGCGUCGACCGGCGCACGGGUGAGUAACGCGUAUCCAACCUGCCCACCACUUGGGGAUAACCUUGCGAAAGUAAGACUAAUACCCGAUGACGUCUCUAGAAGACAUCUGAAAGAGAUUAAAGAUUUAUCGGUGAUGGAUGGGGAUGCGUCUGAUUAGCUUGUUGGCGGGGUAACGGCCCACCAAGGCGACGAUCAGUAGGGGUUCUGAGAGGAAGGUCCCCCACAUUGGAACUGAGACACGGUCCAAACUCCUACGGGAGGCAGCAGUGAGGAAUAUUGGUCAAUGGACGAGAGUCUGAACCAGCCAAGUAGCGUGCAGGAUGACGGCCCUAUGGGUUGUAAACUGCUUUUAUAAGGGAAUAAAGUGAGUCUCGUGAGACUUUUUGCAUGUACCUUAUGAAUAAGGACCGGCUAAUUCCGUGCCAGCCGCCGCGGUAA
This 508-nucleotide ribosomal RNA is filed under the name uncultured bacterium. RNAcentral describes it as "partial 16S ribosomal RNA". It matches the Rfam family "Bacterial small subunit ribosomal RNA", at positions 28 to 523 of the family's 1533-position model. The record is from RNAcentral.